GAGCGCGGGGAUUAUCUAACUGGUUCUGAAUCUGAUGAAGAAAUGCAGGCAUGAGGAGGGAAAGGAUCUGGCUCUAUAGUGUCCCAGUGCAAGCACAAGCCAGCGAUGGACUAUAGUCGGACAUACGCUAACCUGGGUUUCCCUGCAAAACUGUCACCUUAAACCAGUCAAGGUCCGCAGAAUGCUGAGUCCCAUUGUCCCAUAUAAAUGUCUCAAAGACCUGGUGGAAUAUUUCACAUUCCUUCAAGACAUUGUCACUGACUUUUAUUUUUGUGUUAUAUCUGAGUAUUUUAGCUGGCUCACUCUGAAGUGACUGGAGUAGCUGGACAGAGCCUGUUCGUCCAGUGUUACAACACUCGGCGGCUUUAAUGGAACUGGUCCGGUUUUUGUUGGUGGGAGCUGGUGUGAUCUGAUGAGAACAGGCUGUUUGUGUGUCUUUCUGAGCAUGUAGUGUGAUGUUAGGACAGCACACACGGGUGUUAGAUAUCCCUGAUGUUUACUCUCUAAGCACUUAAACACAGGAAAAUUCCUUCCUCUCCCAAGCCCUUUCACCAGUCCUGAUAUAGUCUCACUGUGGUAAAGACUUUAUGGUAAACAUAAAGAAAAAGGAAAGAAAAUGUUUGAUAGUAUAACAAAAUGUUGUUCCUAAUAAUGUUGGACGUUUUGUUUCACACAAUGGAAAGGAAAGCUGGUGUUUUCAAAAGACGCAAAAAGAAAUAAAAACCAAAAAGAACUGGAGUUACAAGGUUUUGUUAUGAUGGUGGUGGCAUUCUGUUGCACAUAUUUCCUCAGUGUCUGAGUCAUCUGAACACAAGCCCAUGUGAAUAGUGUCACGUCCAUGCUGGAAUGUUUUUUUGUGGAAGGAGCCAGUGUUCUCUGCACUUCUGUCCAUAAAGCAUAAGCAUACGUAUACACAUAUACACAUACACUUUCUUAUAGGAUCUCUCAUGCUUUCAC
Long non-coding RNA from Pygocentrus nattereri (red-bellied piranha), 957 nucleotides. The record is from Ensembl. Lineage: Eukaryota; Metazoa; Chordata; Actinopteri; Characiformes; Serrasalmidae.